UCAGCUCCAUUCCCAAAAUUCAACAAUGCUCUUUCAUGACGUCCCUCACUGGUGAUAUGUCUCGACCCUAGGAUUUCAACAUCAAUCUCAUUAUGUUUUCCAUCUCAAAAAUCGCAAUGGCAAUAGGGCGGGCUGUGUUGGGGAGAAAACGGUGGGUCGACUUUGGCUUACAAAUAAUGGAAUUGAGAAAACACAGCUAAAAUGGACACAAGUAUUUACGUGGUUC
Molecule: long non-coding RNA, 226 nt
Filed under: Olea europaea (common olive)
Lineage: Eukaryota; Viridiplantae; Streptophyta; Magnoliopsida; Lamiales; Oleaceae
Description: long non-coding RNA (OEUR_LNC014997)
Source: RNAcentral